UCCUGGUGUAGCGGUGAAAUGCGCAGAUAUCAGGAGGAACACCGGUGGCGAAGGCGGAUCUCUGGGCCUUACCUGACGCUCAGGCGCGAAAGCUAGGGGAGCGAACAGGAUUAGAUACCCUGGUAGUCCUAGCCGUAAACGUUGGGUGCUAGGUGUGGGCGGAUAUCGACCCCGUCCGUGCCGAAGCUAACGCAUUAAGCACCCCGCCUGGGGAGUACGGCCGCAAGGCUAAAACUCAAAGGAAUUGACGGGGGCCCGCACAAGCGGCGGAGCAUGUGGCUUAAUUCGAAGCGACGCGAAGAACCUUACCUGGGCUUGACAUGCGGGGUGAAACCGUAGAGAUACGGCGCUCCUCGGAGCCCGCACAGGUGGUGCGUGGCUGUCGUCAGCUCGUGCCGUGAGGUGUUGCCUUAAGUGGCGCAACGAGCGCAACCCCUGUCCUUAGUUGCCAGCGGGUCAAGCCGGGAACUCUAGGGAGACUGCCGGUGCCAAACCGGAGGAAGGUGGGGAUGACGUCAAGUCAUCAUGCCCCUUAUGUCCAGGGCUGCACACAUGCUACAAUGCGCGAUACAGAGGGUUGCGAUCCCGUAAGGGGGAGCGAAUCCCAAAAAGUCGCGCUCAGUUCGGAUCGGGGUCUGCAACUCGACCCCGUGAAGUCGGAGUCGCUAGUAAUCGCAGAUCAGCAAUGCUGCGGUGAAUACGUUCCCGGGCCUUGUACACACCGCCCGUCACACCACGAAAGUGGGCAACACCCGAAGCCGGUGGCCUAACCCUUGUGGAGGGAGCCGUCGAAGGUGGGGCUCGCGAUUGGGGUGAAGUCGUAACAAGGUACC
RNAcentral lists this ribosomal RNA (833 nucleotides) under uncultured Actinomycetes bacterium. Its description in RNAcentral is "bacterial SSU rRNA". It matches the Rfam family "Bacterial small subunit ribosomal RNA", at positions 668 to 1500 of the family's 1533-position model. Lineage: Bacteria; Bacillati; Actinomycetota; Actinomycetes. The record is from RNAcentral.